ACAACAUUUGGACCGUCGGUCUACCCAGCAACAUCACCCGCUCGGUGGAAGAUCUUCCCUCCGUCCU
Molecule: microRNA precursor, 67 nt
Filed under: Bombyx mori (domestic silkworm)
Lineage: Eukaryota; Metazoa; Arthropoda; Insecta; Lepidoptera; Bombycidae
Description: mir-2774 microRNA precursor family
Rfam family: mir-2774 microRNA precursor family
Source: Rfam by way of RNAcentral